GUUGCUUGCUUCCGCAGCACAUAUUAAAAUGGGAGCGAUACAGAUAUUAACAUGGCCCCUGAGCAAGAAUGACACGCAAAGUCAUGAAGCGGUCCAUAUAUUU
Meriones unguiculatus (Mongolian gerbil) is the source of this 103-nucleotide small nuclear RNA. The record is from RefSeq and is a predicted model, not a curated record. NCBI's taxonomy places the organism in Eukaryota, Metazoa, Chordata, Mammalia, Rodentia, Muridae.